AAAAAGUAGGUACAAAAGAAGAAAGGCCGGAGGGAGAGGCACGUUUUGCUAAAACCCAGGACAGCUGACAGGGAACAUGAAGAUAGGGCCACUAUGGUGAGAUGCUGCAGGGGCUGAAGGAAGCCUCGGGGCCUCACUGCUCAGACGUCUGUGUCCGUCUCAGGUUGUCCUUCACGCGGACAAACUCUGGGAUCUUCUGCUGGUUCUCCAGCCGCCUGAUCUCCUCCUGCUCAUACUGGAAAGACAAAAGACAAGUCAGUGCAUCAGCUCUCAGCCAGUCAGUGUUAUCCACCUCAUCCAUCAUCAGACUAUUGCAUUUUACCAGAUAACAAAAUUUCCAUCACCAAGCUUCUGCUGCCUCUUGCGGAGCUCCGUCUCUAGAUCUGAGGGCUGCUGUCGUGCCAUCUCCUCCUCCUUGUGCAGCUCCAGUCUGCGCUGCUCCAACACUCGCUGCAGCUCCGGUUUCUCCUCCAACAGCAGGCCCCUGCAUGGUCAGUCAGAGUCACAGUUACACACACAAAUCCACCCUGCUCUGUUUCAAAUGUUGAACACAUUAAGAUCAGAGAGUCGGAGGAGGGUUUUCGGUGUUGGUUAUACCGUUUAUGGCUGAGCAGCAGUUCCCGGUGCAGGUUCUGGUAGCUCGGUGUCUCCCCUGAGGAACCGUUCAGUUUCCUGGGCUGAAGGACCUCGUCACCGCUGCAGUCUGCUGUGGACUGACGGGACAGCCUCUGGCGGCCAACAGAACUCUCUGAGGGACACAAAACAACUAAUAUCACAACCUGUUGACUUUAACUUUUAACUUCUCAGAUCUAAACUCUAAUUCUUAUCAAAUCUUUAAAUUGAUAAAUGAACAACGUUUGACACUGCUGCCAUCAUGUAUGUUGUAGAGGUGAGAUUUCAGUCACAAAGUAAUACAUUAUUUAAAGAGGGAAACAACAUUUGAAUAACAAUUGAACAAUAUGUCAGGUAAGUAGGCUACUUGUGUAAAAUACAUCCAUCAAACAGUUCCUAAUCUAUUAAUAAAAUAUUUGAUUGAUAGAUUGAAUCAAUCUAUCAUUCUUCUUCAGUCUAUCAUUCAUAAUCAAUCUAUCAAAUAGAUGAAUCAAUCAAAUAUUUAAUUGGUAACAUUUGAGUGAUCCUUCUAAUCGAUCAAAUCUUCUAAUCAUCAGUAUCAUCAACUGCUCUUGUUUUAAGUUUAGAAUAUUAUUUUCAUUUCUGUUCAGCAUUUGUAAGAUACCUUUUUUGUGUUGUCCAUAUCCUGGUUUCUGUCGGAAUAAAAAAAGAAGAGACACCCUGUUAGUAA
Long non-coding RNA from Perca flavescens (yellow perch), 1303 nucleotides. RefSeq lists it as uncharacterized. The record is from RefSeq and is a predicted model, not a curated record. NCBI's taxonomy places the organism in Eukaryota, Metazoa, Chordata, Actinopteri, Perciformes, Percidae. The transcript has 3 exons.